This 497-nucleotide ribosomal RNA is filed under the name uncultured bacterium. RNAcentral describes it as "partial 16S ribosomal RNA". It matches the Rfam family "Bacterial small subunit ribosomal RNA", at positions 28 to 507 of the family's 1533-position model. The record is from RNAcentral.
GACGAACGCUGGCGGCGUGCCUAAUACAUGCAAGUUGAGCGCUGAAGGUUGGUACUUGUACCAACUGGAUGAGCAGCGAACGGGUGAGUAACGCGUGGGGAAUCUGCCUUUGAGCGGGGGACAACAUUUGGAAACGAAUGCUAAUACCGCAUAAAAACUUUAAACACAAGUUUUAAGUUUGAAAGAUGCAAUUGCAUCACUCAAAGAUGAUCCCGCGUUGUAUUAGCUAGUUGGUGAGGUAAAGGCUCACCAAGGCGAUGAUACAUAGCCGACCUGAGAGGGUGAUCGGCCACAUUGGGACUGUGACACGGCCCAAACUCCUACGGGAGGCAGCAGUAGGGAAUCUUCGGCAAGGGACGAAAGUCUGACCGAGCAACGCCGCGGGAGGGAAGAAGGUUGUCGGAUCGUAAAACUCUGUUGGUAGAGAAGAACGUUGGUGAGAGUGGAAAGCUCAUCAAGUGACGGUAACUACCCAGAAAGGGACGGCUAACUACGUG